Small nuclear RNA from Pelodiscus sinensis (Chinese soft-shelled turtle), 165 nucleotides. Its record names the gene U1. It matches the Rfam family "U1 spliceosomal RNA". Rfam says of the family: U1 is a small nuclear RNA (snRNA) component of the spliceosome (involved in pre-mRNA splicing). Its 5' end forms complementary base pairs with the 5' splice junction, thus defining the 5' donor site of an intron. The record is from Ensembl. Lineage: Eukaryota; Metazoa; Chordata; Testudines; Trionychidae.
CGGCGUCUCUGGAUGGGGGAGAUACCAUGCUCACGAAGGUGGUUUCCCCAGGGUGAGGCUCAUCCAGUGCACUGAGGGUGUGCUGACCCCUGCGAUUUCCCCAAAUGCGGGAAAUUCGACUGCAUGAUUUGUGGUAGAGGGGGACUGCGUUCACGCUUUCCCCUG